UACGUAGGUGACAAGCGUUGUCCGGAUUUACUGGGCGUAAAGAGCGCGCAGGCGGUCGAUCAAGUCGAGUGUGAAAGCCCCCGGCUCAACUGGGGAGGGUCAUUCGAUACUGAUCGACUCGAAGGCAGGAGAGGGUAGUGGAAUUCCCGGUGUAGUGGUGAAAUGCGUAGAUAUCUGGAGGAACACCGGUGGCGAAGGCGGCGUUCUGGACUGCAACUGACACUGAGAAACGAAAGCCAGGGUAGCAAACGGG
RNAcentral lists this ribosomal RNA (253 nucleotides) under uncultured bacterium. Its description in RNAcentral is "partial 16S ribosomal RNA". It matches the Rfam family "Bacterial small subunit ribosomal RNA", at positions 524 to 776 of the family's 1533-position model. The record is from RNAcentral.